CAGACUUGAGGCAGGUAGGGGCACAUGGAACUCUUGGUGGAGCGGUGGAAUGCGUAGAUAUCAAGAGGAACGCCGGUGGCGAAAGCGGUGCGCUGGGCCUGUCCUGACGCUGAGGUGCGAAAGCCAGGGGAGCGAACGGGAUUAGAUACCCCGGUAGUCCUGGCCCUAAACGAUGGGCACUAGGUGCGGGGGGAUCGACCCCCUCCGUGCCGUAGCUAACGCAUUAAGUGCCCCGCCUGGGGACUACGGCCGCAAGGUUAAAACUCAAAGGAAUUGACGGGGCCCCGCACAAGCGGUGGAGCAUGUGGUUUAAUUCGAUGCUACGCGAAGAACCUUACCUGGGCUUGACAUUGACUGGAAAAACCUGAAAGGGUAUAAUGCCGCAAGGAACUGGUCAACAGGUGCUGCAUGGCUGUCGUCAGCUCGUGUCGUGAGAUGUUGGAUUAAGUUCCGCAACGAGCGCAACCCUCGCUGCCAGUUGCCAUCAUUUAGUUGGGGACUCUGGCGGGACUGCCGGCACAAACCGGAGGAAGGUGAGGAUGACGUCAAGUCAGCAUGGCCCUUACGUCCAGGGCUACACACGUGCUACAAUGGCCGGUACAACGAGCUGCUACGGGGCGACCCUGAGCAAAUCUCUUAAAACCGGUCCCAGUUCGGAUUGGAGGCUGCAAUUCGCCUCCAUGAAGUUGGAAUCGCUAGUAACCGCGGAUCAGCAUGCCGUGGUGAAUACGUUCCCUGGGCUUGUACACACCGCCCGUCACACCACCCGAGUCGGGUGCACCCGAAGUCGCUGUCUCAACCCUU
This 804-nucleotide ribosomal RNA is filed under the name marine sediment metagenome. RNAcentral's name for it is "bacterial SSU rRNA". It matches the Rfam family "Bacterial small subunit ribosomal RNA", at positions 637 to 1443 of the family's 1533-position model. The record is from RNAcentral.